GAUGAACGCUGGCGACAGGCUUAACACAUGCAAGUCGAGGGGAAACGGCAGUGGGUGCUUGCACUGAAUGGACGUCGACCGGCGCACGGGUGAGGAACGCGUAUCCAACCUUCCCGUUACUGCACGAUAACCAGCCGAAGCGCAGACUAAUACCGCAUUUUCUUCGAUGACUGCAUCAGAUUCGGAGCAAAGAUCCGUCGGUAACGGAGGGAGAUGCGUCUGAUUAGCUAGUUGGCGAGGCGACGGCCCACCAAGGCGACGAUCAGUAGGCGUUCUGAGAGGAAGGUCCCCCAGAUUGGAGCUGAGACACGGUCCAAAAUGGUACGGGAGGCAGCAGUAAGGAAUAUUGGUGAAGGGGCGGUAGCCUGAACAAGCCAAGUAGCGUGCAGGAGGACGGCCAUACGGGUUGUAAGCUGCUUUUAUGCGGGGAUAAAGUGAGGGACGCGUCACUUUUUGAAGGUACCGAAUGAAUAAGGCCCGGCUAAUUCCGUG
This 492-nucleotide ribosomal RNA is filed under the name uncultured bacterium. Its description in RNAcentral is "partial 16S ribosomal RNA". It matches the Rfam family "Bacterial small subunit ribosomal RNA", at positions 28 to 507 of the family's 1533-position model. The record is from RNAcentral.